RNAcentral lists this ribosomal RNA (887 nucleotides) under Lactarius luculentus var. laetus. RNAcentral describes it as "eukaryotic LSU rRNA". The stretch from base 275 to 428 matches the Rfam family "5.8S ribosomal RNA". Lineage: Eukaryota; Fungi; Basidiomycota; Agaricomycetes; Russulales; Russulaceae. The record is from RNAcentral.
UAGAGGAAGUAAAAGUCGUAACAAGGUUUCCGUAGGUGAACCUGCGGAAGGAUCAUUAUCGUAACAAAAUGUGAGGGGCAUGUGAGGGCUGUCGCUGACUCAAUGUCGUGCACGCCCGAGCGUGUCCUCUCACAUAAUAAUCCAUCUCACCCUUUGUGCAUCGCCGCGUGGGCACCCUUUGGGAUCAUCUCGGAGGGGGCUCGCGUUUUCACACAAACCCCCCCUUUUAAAAGUGUAGAAUGACCUCAUUUAUGCGCUAACCCGCAAUCAAUACAACUUUCAACAACGGAUCUCUUGGCUCUCGCAUCGAUGAAGAACGCAGCGAAAUGCGAUACGUAAUGUGAAUUGCAGAAUUCAGUGAAUCAUCGAAUCUUUGAACGCACCUUGCGCCCCUUGGUAUUCCGAGGGGCACACCCGUUUGAGUGUCGUGAAAACCUCAACCUCCUUGGUUUCUUCUGGAGACCAAAGCAGGCUUGGACUUUGGAGGCCUUUGCUGGCACCUCUCUCUUUUGAAGGUCAGCUCCUCUUAAAUGAAUUAGCAGGGUCCUCUUUGCUGAUCCUCGACGUGUGAUAAGAUGUUUCCAUGUCUUGGUUUCUGGCUCUGUCACUCUUGGGACCCGCUUCUAACCGUCUUGACCUUGCGUCGAGACAAUGUUCGAGCACGUCUCCCAUCUCGGGAAGCUCCCUCGACCCCACGAACCCUUGACCUCAAAUCGGGUGAGACUACCCGCUGAACUUAAGCAUAUCAAUAAGCGGAGGAAAAGAAACUAACAAGGAUUCCCCUAGUAACUGCGAGUGAAGCGGGAAAAGCUCAAAUUUAAAAUCUGGCGGUCUUUGGCCGUCCGAGUUGUAAUUUAGAGAAGCGUCUUCCGCGCUGGACCGUGUAC